RNAcentral lists this transfer RNA (67 nucleotides) under Chauliops fallax. RNAcentral's name for it is "tRNA-Ile". Lineage: Eukaryota; Metazoa; Arthropoda; Insecta; Hemiptera; Malcidae. The record is from RNAcentral.
AAUAAGGUGCCUGAUUAAAGGGCUAUUUUGAUAGAAUAGAUAAAGUAAAAAUAAAUUACCCUUAUUA